RNAcentral lists this long non-coding RNA (339 nucleotides) under Trifolium pratense (red clover). RNAcentral's name for it is "long non-coding RNA (TPRA_LNC004672)". The record is from RNAcentral. Lineage: Eukaryota; Viridiplantae; Streptophyta; Magnoliopsida; Fabales; Fabaceae.
UUCUUCAGAGCGAGAGGUUUGCAAGCUCUCCCCCUGAGUCUCAUAAGGCUAAGUUAAAAUUGCACUCUUAACUUAUCCUUACUUAUGAAAUUUAAUUUCAGUUUUUAAAUUACUUAAUCUCCGCAUUGAAAUUCGUAAAACAAAUAAAAAAUAACUUUUAAUAACUUAACAAACAAAAGUGGUUUCAGCUUUUUGAAAACUUAUCAACUUUCAAUUAAUGCGUAACUACUCCCCCUUUUGUCAUUAUCAAAAAGUAACAAAAAUUUAGAUAACCAAGACAGUCAAAGAAGGAAAUUGGUUGUUACAAAGGUGAAUUUAUUUCAAAAGCGAAAACCAACG